Molecule: long non-coding RNA, 254 nt
Filed under: Monodelphis domestica (gray short-tailed opossum)
Lineage: Eukaryota; Metazoa; Chordata; Mammalia; Didelphimorphia; Didelphidae
Description: lncRNA (ENSMODG00000040331.1)
Source: RNAcentral
UUUAAAGGCUGCUCAUCCAUUUUUGGUGCCCUUCUUUCUCCCAAGUUUCACCUGUGGCUUCAAGAAACUGUAGCAUUUCUGGUAGUCACACCCUGGUAAACCAUUUUGGCAGAUGGAUAAAACCAGGUUGAGAGUAACUGAUGGGCCACAAACCUGUUAGUAAGGAGGGCAAGAUUAUUGUGGUCCAAAGUAGUGGAGGAAAGUAUCCUGAAGGAGAUAAUCCUUGGAUUGGGCCUUCAAGGACCUCAAAGGCA